This 905-nucleotide ribosomal RNA is filed under the name uncultured bacterium. RNAcentral's name for it is "bacterial SSU rRNA". It matches the Rfam family "Bacterial small subunit ribosomal RNA", at positions 16 to 917 of the family's 1533-position model. The record is from RNAcentral. RNAcentral also lists the same sequence under 1 other name.
AUUAUGGCUCAGGAAUGAACGCUGGCGGCGUGCCUAAUACAUGCAAGUCGAACGAAUCUUCUUCGGAAGAUGAGUGGCGAACGGGUGAGUAAUACAUAGGUAACCUGCCCCUGUGCGGGGGAUAACAGGAGGAAACUCCUGCUAAUACCGCAUAGCCAUGAGCAUCGCAUGGAGCUCAUGCCAAAUAUCCUUCAGGGGAUAGCGCAGGGAUGGACCUAUGGCGCAUUAGCUAGUUGGCGGGGCAACGGCCCACCAAGGCAACGAUGCGUAGCCGGCCUGAGAGGGCGGACGGCCACAUUGGGACUGAGACACGGCCCAGACUCCUACGGGAGGCAGCAGUAGGGAAUUUUCGGCAAUGGGGGAAACCCUGACCGAGCAACGCCGCGUGAGCGAAGAAGGCCUUCGGGUCGUAAAGCUCUGUUGUAAAGGAAGAACGUCGCAUGCAGGAAAUGGUGUGCGAGUGACGGUACUUUACCAGAAAGCCACGGCUAACUACGUGCCAGCAGCCGCGGUAAUACGUAGGUGGCGAGCGUUAUCCGGAAUCAUUGGGCGUAAAGAGGGAGCAGGCGGCCGCAAGGGUCUGUGGUGAAAGACCGAAGCUAAACUUCGGUAAGCCAUGGAAACCGGGCGGCUAGAGUGCGGAAGAGGAUCGUGGAAUUCCAUGUGUAGCGGUGAAAUGCGUAGAUAUAUGGAGGAACACCAGUGGCGAAGGCGACGGUCUGGGCCGCAACUGACGCUCAUUCCCGAAAGCGUGGGGAGCAAAUAGGAUUAGAUACCCUAGUAGUCCACGCCGUAAACGAUGGUCACUAAGUGUCGGGGGUCAAACCCCGGUGCCGCAGUCAACGCAAUAAGUGACCCGCCUGAGUGGUACGUUCGCAAGAAUGCAACUCAAAUGAAUUGACGGA